Molecule: long non-coding RNA, 3433 nt
Organism: Pongo pygmaeus (Bornean orangutan)
Lineage: Eukaryota; Metazoa; Chordata; Mammalia; Primates; Hominidae
Exons: 3
Source: RefSeq, a predicted model, not a curated record
UUAGCUGGGUGUGGGUGGCGCGUGCCUGUAAUCCCAGCUACUCAGGAGGCUGAGGCAGGAGAAUCGCUUGAACCCGGGAGGCGGAGUUUGCAGUGAGCCGAGAUUGCACCGCUAUACUCCAGCCUGGGUGACAGAGUUAGACUCCAUCUCAAAAAAAAAAAAAAAAAGAGAGAGGGAGGGGGCCAAAGUGGGACCAGCUUGGGGCUGGGUACUAUGCUGCAUGGUGUGACAGAGCUGUGGAUCUGGUGUGGAAGCAGCCACAGAUCUUCCUGCACUGCCCUAAGCCAACAGGACCCUGAUGUGCUCUGUGUCCCUGGCAGCUGUGGUGCUGAGACCUUGACUGCUCUUUUUUUUUUUCCCCCUCUUUCCAGCUUUUAUUUUAGGUUCAGGGGUAAAUGUGCAGGUUUGUUACAUGGGUAAAUUCCAUGUCGAGGGGGUUUGGUUUACAGAUUAUUUUGUCACCCAGGUAAUGAGCAUAGUACCCAAUAGGUAGUUUUCCAGUCCUCACCGUCCUCCCACUCUCUACCCUCUAGUAGGCCCCCGUGUCUGUUGUUCCCCUCUUUGUAUCCAUGUGUACUUGUAAGCUCCCGGUUACAAGUGAGAACACGUGGUAUUUGGGUUUCUCUUCCAGUGUUAAUUCGCUUAAAAUAAUGGCCUCCAGCCCCAUCCAUGUUGGUGCAAAAGACAUGAUUUAAUUCUUUUUUAUGGCAAUGUAGUAUCCCAUGGUGUAUAUGUAUGACAUUUUGUUUAUCUACUUCACCAUUGAUGGGCAUCUAGAUUGAUUCCAUGUCUUUGCUAUUGUGAAUAGCGCUGCAAUGAACAUAUGUGUGCAUGUGUCUUUUUGGUAGAACGAUUAUUCCUUUGGCUGUAUGCCCAGUAAUGGGAUUGCUGGGUUGAAUGGUAGCUCUAAGUUCUUUGAGAAAUCUCCAAACUGAUUUCCACAGUGGCUGAACUAAUUUACAUUCCCACCAGCAGUGUAUAAGCAUUCCCUUUUCUCUGCAUCCUUACCAGCAUCUGUUAUUUUUUGACAUUUUAGUAAUAGCAAUUAUGAAUGCUGUGAGAUGGUAUCUCAUUGGGAUUUUGAUUUGCAUUUCUCUUAUGAUUAGUGACGAGUAUUUUUUCACGUGCUUCUUGGCCACAUGAAUGUCUGACUGCUCUUCUAAUUCUGUUCUGCUCAGCUGCACCUGCCCCGCUCCACGUUCAAGUGUUUAGCUCUGGCUUUCAGGAAUCUCUGUUACCAUACCUCUGCUCUCUGAGCCCAUACAGGGAUUUCUGAAGGGGUGAGGUAGGGUGUCAGUGAUAGGGUUUUUUUCCUCUGGGAUUAUGGGGGGGAGUUGCCAAGCUCCUAUUAGAGCCAAUGAAGCCCCCUUCCUCAGGGACUUUCCCAAGAGAAGAGCCAGAGCUCAUACUCAGGAUCAUUCAGACCAUAAGGCCUUAUAGAGGAACCCAGUGACUCCAAGAAAUGGUGAGACACAAAAGAAUCUCAGGCUGGAAGGGGAAGAAUCCAGGGAUGAGAGCUCAUCAGUGCCUGUGACAUCAUAGACAUGACCGUACAGUUCUGUCAUGACCAGACUUGGGAGAAAGAAGCAGGUGAAAUGGUGGUGCAGCUGCCAGACUGAGACAUCUCAGUUCCUUAUGUAAGCUUUGUCAUGUCCUCCAGUCCUCCCUUCAGAAAGGCCCAUAUUCCAUGAUAGCCCCUAGAAGGGUCAUGUCUUGGUGUUUUGCACAGAGCUCUUUGAGUUUCUCCAUUAACUUAGCUACUGUGCCCAGCAGCCACCAGAGGCCCCAAAAGAAGUAACCAGCAGGGGAUCUGGCUGCCUGGGUUCCUUGGGGGUGGUCUCACCAUCAGCGGUGGGUGAGACCACCACAGCCACACUGUGAAAGUUUCAGAGUUUUCACUACUUACAGAUCCUCAAGAUAGGCAGGAUGACCAGAGAGAGGCAGACAGCAGUCCUCAGUUCUUAUGUAGUUAUGUCACUUAUGUAGUGACAGCAGCUGCACACUUGUGGGAGAGGACUUCUGUUAAAGGCUUAUUUGGGGGUAGGAUGUCCUAAUUUCAUGGAAUUACUUUCCACUGAGUCCUUCAACCACUUCUAGCAGCAAAGGUAGUUGAGCAGUUUGGCAUGAGGCUGGAGUUAAAACAGGGCUCUGCAGAGGGACUUCUUGUCUAUCUUGGUCAGCCCUUGCCAGGCAACAAUCAACUGUGGUUUCUUCAUUACUCCUCAGACACUUGGGACAUUCAUGGUGACCUACUGGCACCCAAGGAAGAGAACCUGAUUUUAAUUUGGACUGAUAAGCAAGUUUUCUGAACAGGUUUAUAGGGAUUAGUUUAGUCUGGACAGAGUGAGCCUGAAUCAAAAGAUACUGUUAAUACCAGAGGACUAGAAGAUCCCAUGUGGAGAUGUCAGGUGGCUUAGCCAUUGAGAAAGAAUGACAGUAGAGCUGAAAUGGUCCAGAGCCCAGGUAUUCAACAAAGGCUAAGAGCCAAGGUGAGAGGGCAAAGGGAAGGUGUGAAUGAAUGGGUGAAGCCCCACUGUGUGCUUGGCCAGCCCCACAGAGCUCUCUGCUGGUGCUUAGGGGUAUGAAUUCUACUUGUGACAUGUCAAUUUAUGUCACCAUCUCCUGUGCCUGGGUCUAAAGUCUUGUAAAAGAAAAAAAAAAAACCAACUGGGGAUUCCAACAGACACUACCUUGAUGACCAAGAUAAUACAUUUUUUCUCAAGUCUCCAACUUCAAGAAUUGUACAAAUAUGACUGUGACAUCGCUUAAAAAUAUAGGAAAAUUUAAAAAAUUGUACAAAUAAAAUCAAUCAUGUCUAUGAAUUAUUAAUGGAACUUCAGUGGCAACUCAGAGGAGCUCUCUGUACAUCCUCAACCAGAGCCACAGCUUCCUCGCCAUUUUCUGGAUGCUGCUCCCUCACCCAGGUCUGGAUCUCCUCUGGCAAGAUAGUCAGAAACUGCUCCAAAACCAGCAGCUCCAGGAUUUCCUCUUUCGAGUGGGUCUUCGGCCUCAGCCACUGACAACAGAGUUCCCAGAGUUUGCUAAAAGCUUCAUGGGGGCCAGUUACCUCCUGGUAGCAAAACUGCCUGAAGCGCUGACGGGAGGCCUCGGAGUCAGGGCUGUUACCCUGGAGGGCUGAUUUCUGGCCCUGCGUGGGAUCCUUGUUUGAGGAUGGGUGUGCCUCGGUACUCUUCACUGCAGCCAUCAUUUGCUUCAACGAACUGGCUUACUCUGGUUGCCACUUCUUCCCUGGAGAUCAGAGUCCAUCUUUCCCACAUCACUGGGAAGCCAUGUUCUCCUGCAAGGAAUGUCUUUCUGUAAUCCGUGGAACAUGAGAGUGUCAGACAUGUGCAGAGACUCACAGCUGAAAAAAAGGGCUCAACUUUGAAGGAUGUCUGAAGAGGAUGGAAAAAGACAAUAUAAACCUAUCAAA